Molecule: ribosomal RNA, 598 nt
Filed under: uncultured euryarchaeote
Lineage: Archaea; Methanobacteriati; Methanobacteriota
Description: bacterial SSU rRNA
Rfam family: Archaeal small subunit ribosomal RNA
Source: RNAcentral
UAGGAAUUGGCGGGGGAGCACCGCAACGGGUGGAGCGUGCGGUUUAAUUGGAUUCAACGCCGGAAAACUCACCGGGGGCGACGGUUAUAUGAAGGCCAGGCUGAUGACCUUGCCUGAUUUUCCGAGAGGUGGUGCAUGGCCGUCGUCAGUUCGUACCGUGAGGCGUUCUGUUAAGUCAGACAACGAACGAGACCCUCAUCUUUUGUUGCAACUGGUAAGUUCGCUUACUAGGCACACAAGAGAGACCGCUGGCGAUAAGUCAGAGGAAGGCGAGGGCAACGGUAGGUCAGUAUGCCCUGAAUCCCCCGGGCUACACGCGCGCUACAAAGGCUAGGACAAUGGGUUUCGACACCGAAAGGUGAAGGUAAUCCCGAAACCUAGUCAUAGUUCGGAUUGAGGGUUGUAACUCACCCUCAUGAAGUUGGAAUCCGUAGUAAUCGCGGAUCAACAUUCCGCGGUGAAUAUGCCCCUGCUCCUUGCACACACCGCCCGUCAAGCCAUGCGAAUUGGGUCUGAGUGAGGAUGCAGCUAGUUGCUGCGUUCAAACUUAGGCUUAGUGAGCGGGGCGAGGUCGUAACAAGGUAACCUCAGUCAGUCA